AUACGUAGGUGACAAGCGUUAUCCGGAUUUACUGGGCGUAAAGGGCGUGUAGGCGGUCUUGCAAGUCAGAAGUGAAAUUCCUGAGCUCAACUCGGGCGCUGCUUCUGAAACUGCAGGACUUGAGUGCUGGAGGGGAUAGCGGAAUUCCUAGUGGAGCGGUAAAAUGCGCAGAUAUUAGGAAGAACACCGGUGGCGAAGGCGGCUAUCUGGACAGUAACUGACGCUGGGGCGCGAAAGCGUGGGGAGCAAACAGGAUUAGAUCCCCUGGUAUUCCACGCCGUAAACGAUGAAUACUAGGUGUAGGGGGUAUCGACUCCCUCUGUGCCGCAGUUAACACAAUAAGUAUUCCGCCUGGGGAGUACGGCCGCAAGGUUGAAACUCAAAGGAAUUGACGGGG
RNAcentral lists this ribosomal RNA (397 nucleotides) under uncultured bacterium. Its description in RNAcentral is "partial 16S ribosomal RNA". It matches the Rfam family "Bacterial small subunit ribosomal RNA", at positions 523 to 918 of the family's 1533-position model. The record is from RNAcentral.